GACGAAGGGGGCUAGCGUUGUUCGGAAUUACUGGGCGUAAAGCGCGUGUAGGCGGUUUGCCAAGUCAGGUGUGAAAGCCUUGGGCUUAACCCAAGAAAUGCACUUGGUACUGGCAGACUAGAGGACCGGAGAGGAUAGUGGAAUUCCCAGUGUAGUGGUGAAAUACGUAGAGAUUGGGAAGAACACCAGUGGCGAAGGCGGCUAUCUGGACGGUUUCUGACGCUAAGACGCGAAAGCGUGGGGAGCAAACAGG
Molecule: ribosomal RNA, 253 nt
Filed under: uncultured bacterium
Lineage: Bacteria
Description: partial 16S ribosomal RNA
Rfam family: Bacterial small subunit ribosomal RNA
Source: RNAcentral